UGGGGAAUAUUGCACAAUGGAGGGAACUCUGAUGCAGCGACGCCGCGUGAACGAAGAAGGCUUUCGAGUCGUAAAGUUCUUUUAUAUGGGAAGAUAAUGACGGUACCAUAAGAAAAAGCCCCGGCUAACUACGUGCCAGCAGCCGCGGUAAUACGUAGGGGGCUAGCGUUGUCCGGAAUCACUGGGCGUAAAGGGUUCGCAGGCGGAAAUGCAAGUCAGGUGUAAAAGGCAGUAGCUUAACUACUGUAAGCAUUUGAAACUGCAUAUCUUGAGAAGAGUAGAGGUAAGUGGAAUUUUUAGUGUAGCGGUGAAAUGCGUAGAUAUUAAAAAGAAUACCGGUGGCGAAGGCGACUUACUGGUCAUCAUCUGACGCUGAGGUACGAAAGCGUGGGUAGCAAACAGG
Molecule: ribosomal RNA, 403 nt
Filed under: Verrucomicrobiota bacterium
Lineage: Bacteria; Pseudomonadati; Verrucomicrobiota
Description: Verrucomicrobia bacterium partial 16S ribosomal RNA
Rfam family: Bacterial small subunit ribosomal RNA
Source: RNAcentral